This 70-nucleotide transfer RNA is filed under the name Sebastes emphaeus (Puget Sound rockfish). RNAcentral's name for it is "tRNA-Pro". Lineage: Eukaryota; Metazoa; Chordata; Actinopteri; Perciformes; Sebastidae. The record is from RNAcentral.
NUCAAAGAAAGGAGAUUUUAACUCCCACCCCUGGCUCCCAAAGCCAGGAUUUUUAGUUAAACUAUUCUUU